AAGGAGAAAAGCGGAGGGGUUGUGGUGGGUAAUAGAAGAGGAACUACUUUUAUUGCGGCGUUACUUCUUCGCCUCGCCGCCGGUCCGCUUGUUUACAGCUUUGCAGAAGCGGCGGCGGGGGGCGGAGAGAGACCGACUCUUUCCUUGUCCACGGAAGGAUGGAAGUCGGUCAGCCCGCCCCACCUAAAGGCGGCGGUGAUGAUGAUGAGAAUCCCCCUCACUCCCCCAGUUCGGGUCUUUAAAUAAGUCUCCGGGCGCGACCAAUCCGUCCAGGAGGAACAUGCCCGGGCGGAUCGCGCGCCCUUAGAGCCAAGCGCAGCGCACAUCGGGGGGAAGUCGCUUUGGCCGGCCAGCCAACCACCCACCCGCUCGCCCCGGUGCGAAAGGGCUGCCACGGCGGCAUCGCUCACCGUCCUGCGAAGGUCUGGUUAGAAUGAAGCUGGACGGCGGCUACUGAGGUCUAGAAUACCCUGAUAGACUCCAUUCUACGUUCUAACCUGACUUGAUGUGGCUUGUACUCAGGUUGCAACAGGACAGAUUGAAGACAAACGAGGCAGAAGAAGAACAUCAUGGCUUCAAAAUCUAAGGGACUGGUUUGGACAAAACUCAGCAGCACUUUUUCAUGCGGCUGUUGAUAAAAAUAGGAUCGCCAACAUGAUCGCCAACGUCCGAUGGAUAUAGCGCAAGAAGAAGAAAAUACACAUGCACCCCCCACUCACCCACACACAAUUCUUCAUUCGUGGAGACCUAUGGGGAAAUUUUAAAGACUAUCCCUAGUGAAACCUAAGCACAUGUGAGUGACUGGAUAGUUUCUGAGAGAGUAACUUAAAUGUUC
Molecule: long non-coding RNA, 835 nt
Organism: Ahaetulla prasina
Lineage: Eukaryota; Metazoa; Chordata; Lepidosauria; Squamata; Colubridae
Exons: 3
Source: RefSeq, a predicted model, not a curated record